Molecule: ribosomal RNA, 780 nt
Filed under: Enterobacter sp.
Lineage: Bacteria; Pseudomonadati; Pseudomonadota; Gammaproteobacteria; Enterobacterales; Enterobacteriaceae
Description: bacterial SSU rRNA
Rfam family: Bacterial small subunit ribosomal RNA
Source: RNAcentral
UGCGUAGAGAUCUGGAGGAAUACCGGUGGCGAAGGCGGCACCCUGGACAGAGCCUGACGCUCAGGUGCGAAAGCGUGGGGAGCAAACAGGUUUAGAUACCCUGGUAGUCCACGCCGUAAACGAUGUCGACUUGGAGGUUGUGCCCUUGAGGCGUGGCUUCAGGAGCUAAGGCGUUAAGUCGACAGCCUGGGGAGUACGUCCGCAAGGUUAAAACUCAAAUGAAUUGACGGGGGCCCGCACAAGCGGUGGAGCAUGUGGUUUAAUUCGAUGCAACGCGAAGAACCUUACCUACUCUUGACAUCCAGAGAACUUUCCAGAGAUGGAUUGGUGCCUUCGGGAACUCUGAGACAGGUGCUGCAUGGCUGUCGUCAGCUCGUGUUGUGAAAUGUUGGGUUAAGUCCCGCAACGAGCGCAACCCUUAUCCUUUGUUGCCAGCGGUCCGGCCGGGAACUCAAAGGAGACUGCCAGUGAUAAACUGGAGGAAGGUGGGGAUGACGUCAAGUCAUCAUGGCCCUUACGAGUAGGGCUACACACGUGCUACAAUGGCGCAUACAAAGAGAAGCGAACUCGCGAGAGCCAGCGGACCUCUUAAAUUGCGUCGUAGUCCGGAUUGGAGUCUGCAACUCGACUCCAUGAAGUCGGAAUCGCUAGUAAUCGUAGAUCAGAAUGCUACGGUGAAUACGUUCCCGGGCCUUGUACACACCGCCCGUCACACCAUGGGAGUGGGUUGCAAAAGAAGUAGGUAGCUUAACCUUCGGGAGGGCGCUUACCACUUUGUGA